AACUAGACCUCAUUAUCUAUUUUCUGUCCAAUAUUCCCUGUCGCGGUGACAGCCCGGCUGUCGGUGAGUGUCCUGUUUCUCCUUUCCCUCACAUUCUGGUUUCUCCUGUGCCUCCUCUCUCUCUCUGUGUGCUCUCUCCCUCCCUGCUCCGGAGCCCGGCUGGCUACCCACACCUGCACCUCGUUUACCUCCAUCCCCGGCCGCCGCACCUGCCAGCCAUCAGCCUCAUCACUGCCAGUAUAUCUACCCCGGCUUUCCACUCCACCCUCGCUCGAUCGUCGCAGCUCUUGACCUGGUUCACUCACCUCUGCCUCCCAGCUCGGCCAGCCGGGCUCGCUCGCCUGCCUCCUCCUCUCGCCGCCUCCACGACACCCCCCCGGCUUCUCCACUCGCACCCCGCCUGGACCCCCGUCUCCGUGUCCUCACCUACCCGUCUGCCAGCCUCCCCCCUAGCCUCCAGCCUUGUGCCCUCCGUUCCUCCAGCUUCUCGGUUCCCCGAGUCCUCGUCUGCCUCUCCCCCUCCUUCCACCUGCCCUCGCCUCGAGCCUGCUUUUCCUCAAUAAACCUCUCUUUCACCCUCA
This is a long non-coding RNA of Micropterus salmoides (largemouth bass), 581 nucleotides long. RefSeq lists it as uncharacterized. The record is from RefSeq and is a predicted model, not a curated record. The transcript is spliced from 2 exons. NCBI's taxonomy places the organism in Eukaryota, Metazoa, Chordata, Actinopteri, Centrarchiformes, Centrarchidae.